This 376-nucleotide ribosomal RNA is filed under the name uncultured bacterium. RNAcentral describes it as "bacterial SSU rRNA". It matches the Rfam family "Bacterial small subunit ribosomal RNA", at positions 524 to 898 of the family's 1533-position model. The record is from RNAcentral.
UACGAAGGGUGCAAGCGUUACUCGGAAUUACUGGGCGUAAAGCGUGCGUAGGUGGUUUGUUAAGUCUGAUGUGAAAGCCCUGGGCUCAACCUGGGAAUGGCAUUGGAUACUGGCAGGCUAGAGUGUGGCAGAGGGUAGUGGAAUUCCUGGUGUAGCAGUGAAAUGCGUAGAGAUCAGGAGGAACAUCCGUGGCGAAGGCAACUGCCUGGGCCAACACUGACACUGAGGCACGAAAGCGUGGGGAGCAAACAGGAUUAGAUACCCUGGUAGUCCACGCCCUAAACGAUGCGAACUGGAUGUUGGGUGCAAUUUGGCACGCAGUAUCGAAGCUAACGCGUUAAGUUCGCCGCCUGGGGAGUACGGUCGCAAGACUGAA